UAGUGAAUACACCCUGAUAAAUAACUUCCCUAGUUGGCUAAAACCUGACUAGGGGCUUUUUUU
This 63-nucleotide small RNA is filed under the name Nostoc sp. PCC 7524. RNAcentral describes it as "Nitrogen stress-induced RNA 1". It matches the Rfam family "Nitrogen stress-induced RNA 1". Lineage: Bacteria; Bacillati; Cyanobacteriota; Cyanophyceae; Nostocales; Nostocaceae. The record is from Rfam by way of RNAcentral.